AGAGUUUGAUCCUGGCUCAGAUUGAACGCUGGCGGUAUGCUUUACACAUGCAAGUCGAACGGCAGCACGGGGCAACCUGGUGGCGAGUGGCGAACGGGUGAGUAACAUAUCGGAACAUAUCCGGAAGUGGGGGAUAACGUAGCGAAAGUUACGCUAAUACCGCAUAUGCCCUGAGGGGGAAAGGGGGGGAUCGCAAGACCUCUCGCUUUCGGAGUGGCCGAUAUCGGAUUAGCUAGAUGGUGAGGUAAAGGCUCACCAUGGCGACGAUCCGUAGCGGGUCUGAGAGGACGACCCGCCACACUGGAACUGAGACACGGUCCAGACUCCUACGGGAGGCAGCAGUGGGGAAUUUUGGACAAUGGGCGCAAGCCUGAUCCAGCCAUACCGCGUGAGUGAAGAAGGCCUUCGGGUUGUAAAGCUCUUUCAGCCGGAAAGAAAUCGCACUUUUUAAUACGGAGUGUGGAUGACGGUACCGGAAGAAGAAGCACCGGCUAACUACGUGCCAGCCGCCGCGGU
RNAcentral lists this ribosomal RNA (516 nucleotides) under uncultured bacterium. RNAcentral describes it as "bacterial SSU rRNA". It matches the Rfam family "Bacterial small subunit ribosomal RNA", at positions 8 to 521 of the family's 1533-position model. The record is from RNAcentral.